RNAcentral lists this small nucleolar RNA (156 nucleotides) under Tinamus guttatus (white-throated tinamou). RNAcentral describes it as "Small nucleolar RNA SNORA12". It matches the Rfam family "Small nucleolar RNA SNORA12". Rfam says of the family: U108 belongs to the H/ACA family of snoRNAs. Lineage: Eukaryota; Metazoa; Chordata; Aves; Tinamiformes; Tinamidae. The record is from Rfam by way of RNAcentral.
UAUUGUGGUGGUUUCUGUAUCUGGCAGAUCUGUAACAGUAUCAGAGCGGCCUUGAGCCACCACAAAGAUCGGAAAGGAGGACGGGCAUCCUGAGAACUGUUUCAAGCUUUCAGUUUUCAGGAUUCUUUUUUUCUUUUUGGUUCAACUCCUACAAAA